CGGCGGACGGGUGAGUAACACGUGGAUAACCUACCUAUAAGGCUGGGAUAACUUCGGGAAACCGGAGCUAAUACCGGAUAAUAUAUUGAACCGCAUGGUUCAAUAGUGAAAGACGGUUUUGCUGUCACUUAUAGAUGGAUCCGCGCCGCAUUAGCUAGUUGGUAAGGUAACGGCUUACCAAGGCAACGAUGCGUAGCCGACCUGAGAGGGUGAUCGGCCACACUGGAACUGAGACACGGUCCAGACUCCUACGGGAGGCAGCAGAU
RNAcentral lists this ribosomal RNA (266 nucleotides) under uncultured Staphylococcus sp. Its description in RNAcentral is "partial 16S ribosomal RNA". It matches the Rfam family "Bacterial small subunit ribosomal RNA", at positions 96 to 354 of the family's 1533-position model. Lineage: Bacteria; Bacillati; Bacillota; Bacilli; Caryophanales; Staphylococcaceae. The record is from RNAcentral.